UGAGGUGUAGCUCAGUGGUAGAGCACUUGCCUGGCAUGUGCAAGGCACUGGGUUCCAUCCCCAGCACCACAU
Molecule: non-coding RNA, 72 nt
Organism: Heterocephalus glaber (naked mole-rat)
Lineage: Eukaryota; Metazoa; Chordata; Mammalia; Rodentia; Bathyergidae
Source: Rfam